This is a non-coding RNA of Lupinus albus (white lupine), 1297 nucleotides long. Lineage: Eukaryota; Viridiplantae; Streptophyta; Magnoliopsida; Fabales; Fabaceae. The record is from the annotation of a GenBank genome assembly.
CUUUUCUACUCAUAAUCCUAUAAUGUGUAAAAAAAACCGUUCUCCUAGAGUGCAGAUAAAGAUCAAAUCAGAACCGUUCUAGUAAGCCUUCAAACUUCUCCUCCUUCUCUACUAUAGACCUCAUUCGCUGCUUUUAAAGGAAAAAAAAUUCACGUCCUUCAAACUUAUCCUCCUUCGAUCUUCUCUAAACUCAAACUUCUCCUUCAAUUUUUUUUUCAAACUCACCAUCGUCCUGAUCUUCUCCAGUUCCACCAUGUCCCGGUCUUCUCCCACGGCCAGGGUAGGGUUUCUUCUUCUUAUCAAUCGCAAUGGGUUAACAAAUUGAUUUCCUCUUCCAUCAACUUCGAUUAGCCAGAGUACAAAGUAGUUUUUGGUUGAUUCUUUAAUAUUCUUUCCCAUAUGUACUAUUGGUGAGAAUGAGAUUUGGUUGAGGAAAGGAGCCAUGGCGAAACAAUUGAAUUCAGAUUCAGUGUGUGUAAUUUCUCAAAUUCAAUUGAUGAGUAUGGUAUGCAUUAUUUCAACCUUCAUAUUGCAUAUGUAAUAGUAACGUACCACCAAUUGUAAAUUCAAUGCAGCUUAGUUCACAUAUGCAUUCAAGAAGAUAAAUGAAUAGCAUUCCUUAUAUCUACUGAUGAAUUUUCUGUAUGUAGAAGACAAAAUUUAACCCUGAACAAUUUUGUUUAUUUUGAAUAUCUUUAUAGUCUUCUGCAGGAAGUAUUAGAUAGCCUAAGUGGGGCCACCUUAAAAUUUUACUUAAGGCCAUUAAGCUUUGUGAGGAAGUAUUGAUAUCUACUGAUCCAACAAUUACAUAUCAAGCUUGUUCAAGACCAAAGAGCUAAAAUCCAAGCUUGUUUCUGCUACUUUGGAAGGCUCAUAGAAGCAGAUAAAUUAGCAUCCAAUGUGACCACUUUGAUUGGGAAUUUAAUGAGGCCAACUCCGUGUUGAUGCUGUUACUUGGAUUCAUCUAGAAAUAUAUGGUUGCAAACUCCUAUUGUCAAUUCACUUUUGGUAUUCCUGACUUGAAGAUUGAAAGCCAAAUAUGCAAGACGACCAAGUUAUAAUUUGAAGCAGAUAUUUAGGUUAUUAGACUACACUUAAUUAUGUGUAAGUAGAGUAGAUGGUGGUUGAAGUUAUGAAAUUUUUGAGAAUGUGGGAUUCCUAUAUAAUACUUAUUAAUGUGACUAGACCUCUCAGGUUGGGUUCAUCAUCGUUUUAAGUUUAUAAUCACUAGUAGUUAUGUGGAAUAUUUAAUACUUUUAGUAAGCAUGGGCAUAUAUAUAUAAGAGUUAUAAGGUAU